RNAcentral lists this ribosomal RNA (301 nucleotides) under uncultured bacterium. RNAcentral's name for it is "partial 16S ribosomal RNA". It matches the Rfam family "Bacterial small subunit ribosomal RNA", at positions 509 to 807 of the family's 1533-position model. The record is from RNAcentral.
CAGUAGCCGCGGUAAAACGGAGGGGGCUAGCGUUGUUCGGAAUUACUGGGCGUAAAGCGCACGUAGGCGGCUUGGUAAGUUAGAGGUGAAAGCCCGGAGCUCAACUCCGGAAUUGCCUUUAAGACUGCCGAGCUAGUAGGUGAGAGAGGUAAGUGGAAUUCCGAGUGUAGAGGUGAAAUUCGUAGAUAUUCGGAAGAACACCAGUGGCGAAGGCGGCUUACUGGCUCAUUCUAGACGCUGAGGUGCGAAAGCGUGGGGAGCAAACAGGAUUAGAUACCCCGGUAGUCCCUGUCUCUUAUAC